Non-coding RNA from Chryseobacterium gambrini, 69 nucleotides. NCBI's taxonomy places the organism in Bacteria, Pseudomonadati, Bacteroidota, Flavobacteriia, Flavobacteriales, Weeksellaceae. The record is from Rfam.
GAAGCAGUAGUUUAACGGAAAAGCGCAUCAUUCUAAGAUGAGUUGCAGGUUCAAUUCCUACCUGUUUAC